This 241-nucleotide ribosomal RNA is filed under the name Madagascaria erythrocladioides. RNAcentral's name for it is "partial Bacterial large subunit ribosomal RNA". It matches the Rfam family "Bacterial large subunit ribosomal RNA", at positions 1966 to 2206 of the family's 2925-position model. Lineage: Eukaryota; Rhodophyta; Compsopogonophyceae; Erythropeltidales; Erythrotrichiaceae. The record is from RNAcentral.
UCCUUGUCGGGUAAGUUCCGACCUGCACGAAUGGUGUAACGAUCUGGACACUGUCUCGGCCAUGAGCUCGGUGAAAUUGUAGUCGCGGUGAAGAUGCCGCGUACCCGCUGUGGGACGAAAAGACCCCGUGAACCUUUACUAUAGCUUAGUAUUGACUUUGGACAAGCAAUGUGUAGGAUAGGUGGGAGGCUUUGAAGCGGCGUCGCCAGGCGUCGUGGAUCCAUUGUUGAAAUACCACCCU